AUUGAACGCUGGCGGCAUGCCUUACACAUGCAAGUCGAACGGCAGCACGGGAGCAAUCCUGGUGGCGAGUGGCGAACGGGUGAGUAAUACAUCGGAACGUGCCCAAUCGUGGGGGAUAACGCAGCGAAAGCUGUGCUAAUACCGCAUACGAUCUACGGAUGAAAGCAGGGGAUCGCAAGACCUUGCGCGAAUGGAGCGGCCGAUGGCAGAUUAGGUAGUUGGUGAGGUAAAGGCUCACCAAGCCGUCGAUCUGUAGCUGGUCUGAGAGGACGACCAGCCACACUGGGACUGAGACACGGCCCAGACUCCUACGGGAGGCAGCAGUGGGGAAUUUUGGACAAUGGGCGAAAGCCUGAUCCAGCCAUGCCGCGUGCAGGAUGAAGGCCUUCGGGUUGUAAACUGCUUUUGUACGGAACGAAACGGCCUUUUCUAAUAAAGAGGGCUAAUGACGGUACCGUAAGAAUAAGCACCGGCUAACUACGUGCCAGCAGCCGCGGUAAUACGUAGGGUGCAAGCGUUAAUCGGAAUUACUGGGCGUAAAGCGUGCGCAGGCGGUUAUGUAAGACAGUUGUGAAAUCCCCGGGCUCAACCUGGGAACUGCAUCUGUGACUGCAUAGCUAGAGUACGGUAGAGGGGAAUGGAAUUCCGCGUGUAGCAGUGAAAUGCGUAGAUAUGCGGAGGAACACCGAUGGCGAAGGCAAUCCCCUGGACCUGUACUGACGCUCAUGCACGAAAGCGUGGGGAGCAAACAGG
This 753-nucleotide ribosomal RNA is filed under the name uncultured Comamonadaceae bacterium. Its description in RNAcentral is "bacterial SSU rRNA". It matches the Rfam family "Bacterial small subunit ribosomal RNA", at positions 28 to 776 of the family's 1533-position model. Lineage: Bacteria; Pseudomonadati; Pseudomonadota; Betaproteobacteria; Burkholderiales; Comamonadaceae. The record is from RNAcentral.